This 329-nucleotide unclassified non-coding RNA is filed under the name soil metagenome. RNAcentral describes it as "partial contains 5.8S ribosomal RNA, internal transcribed spacer 2, and large subunit ribosomal RNA". The stretch from base 1 to 120 matches the Rfam family "5.8S ribosomal RNA", at positions 35 to 154 of the family's 154-position model. The record is from RNAcentral.
GAUGAAGAACGCAGCGAAAUGCGAUAAGUAAUGUGAAUUGCAGAAUUCAGUGAAUCAUCGAAUCUUUGAACGCACAUUGCGCCCCUUGGUAUUCCGAGGGGCAAGCCUGUUCGAGCGUCAUUAUAACCCCUCAAGCUCAGCUUGGUGUUGGGGCCUGCUGCACUGGCAGCCCUUAAAAUCAGUGGCGGCGCCGUCUGGCUCUAAGCGUAGUAAUUCUUCUCGCUAUGGAGUCCUGGUGGAUGCUUGCCAUCAACCCCCAAUUUUUCUAUGGUUGACCUCGGAUCAGGUAGGGAUACCCGCUGAACUUAAGCAUAUCAAUAAGCGGAGGA